CCUACGGGAGGUUGCAGUGGGGGAUAUUGCACAAUGGGGGAAACCCUGAUGCAGCGACGCCGCGUGUGGGAAGACGGUCUUCUGGAUUGUAAACCACUGUCCCCAGGGACGAAAAUGACGGUACCUGGGGAGGAAGCUCCGGCUAAAUACGUGCCAGCAGCCGCGGUAAUACGUAGGGAGCAAGGUUUGUCCGGAAUUACUGGGUGUAAAGGGAGCGUAGGGGGGGAUGAAAGUUGGGGGGCAAAACUAUCGGCUAAACCGAUAGUUGCACUCAAAACUGGAGCUCUUGAGUGAAGUAGAGGCAGGCGGAAUUCCUAGUGUAGCGGUGAAAUGCGUAGAUAUUAGGAGGAACACCAGUGGCGAAGGCAGCUUACCAAGCUACUUCUGACGUUGAGGCACGAAAGCGUGGGGAGCAAACAGGAUUAGAUACCCUUGUAGUC
This 440-nucleotide ribosomal RNA is filed under the name uncultured bacterium. RNAcentral's name for it is "partial 16S ribosomal RNA". It matches the Rfam family "Bacterial small subunit ribosomal RNA", at positions 338 to 795 of the family's 1533-position model. The record is from RNAcentral.